RNAcentral lists this ribosomal RNA (497 nucleotides) under uncultured bacterium. Its description in RNAcentral is "partial 16S ribosomal RNA". It matches the Rfam family "Bacterial small subunit ribosomal RNA", at positions 28 to 507 of the family's 1533-position model. The record is from RNAcentral.
GAUGAACGCUGGCGGCGUGCCUAAUACAUGCAAGUCGAGCGAACAGACGAGGAGCUUGCUCCUCUGAUGUUAGCGGCGGACGGGUGAGUAACACGUGGAUAACCUACCUAUAAGACUGGGAUAACUUCGGGAAACCGGAGCUAAUACCGGAUAACAUGUUGAACCGCAUGGUUCAACAGUGAAAGACGGUCUUGCUGUCACUUAUAGAUGGAUCCGCGCCGCAUUAGCUAGUUGGUAAGGUAACGGCUUACCAAGGCAACGAUGCGUAGCCGACCUGAGAGGGUGAUCGGCCACACUGGAACUGAGACACGGUCCAGACUCCUACGGGAGGCAGCAGUAGGGAAUCUUCAGCAAUGGGCGAAAGCCUGACGGAGCAACGCCGCGUGAGUGAAGAAGGUCUUCGGAUCGUAAAACUCUGUUAUUAGGGAAGAACAAAUGUGUAAGUAACUAUGCACGUCUUGACGGUACCUAAUCAGAAAGCCACGGCUAACUACGUG